RNAcentral lists this ribosomal RNA (613 nucleotides) under uncultured bacterium. RNAcentral's name for it is "bacterial SSU rRNA". It matches the Rfam family "Bacterial small subunit ribosomal RNA", at positions 338 to 948 of the family's 1533-position model. The record is from RNAcentral.
CCUACGGGAGGCAGCAGUGGGGAAUUUUGGACAAUGGGCGAAAGCCUGAUCCAGCCAUUCCGCGUGCAGGAUGAAGGCCCUCGGGUUGUAAACUGCUUUUGUACAGAACGAAAAGGUUUCUAUUAAUACUAGGAGCUCAUGACGGUACUGUAAGAAUAAGCACCGGCUAACUACGUGCCAGCAGCCGCGGUAAUACGUAGGGUGCAAGCGUUAAUCGGAAUUACUGGGCGUAAAGCGUGCGCAGGCGGUUAUAUAAGUCAGAUGUGAAAUCCCCGGGCUCAACCUGGGAACUGCAUUUGAGACUGUAUAGCUAGAGUACGGUAGAGGGGGAUGGAAUUCCGCGUGUAGCAGUGAAAUGCGUAGAUAUGCGGAGGAACACCGAUGGCGAAGGCAAUCCCCUGGACCUGUACUGACGCUCAUGCACGAAAGCGUGGGGAGCAAACAGGAUUAGAUACCCUGGUAGUCCACGCCCUAAACGAUGUCAACUGGUUGUUGGGUCUUAACUGACUCAGUAACGAAGCUAACGCGUGAAGUUGACCGCCUGGGGAUCGGCCGCAAGGUUGAAACUCAAGGAUUGACGGNNGAGAGNGCGAGACGACGACGAGGGAGGAGG